This 399-nucleotide ribosomal RNA is filed under the name uncultured bacterium. RNAcentral's name for it is "bacterial SSU rRNA". It matches the Rfam family "Bacterial small subunit ribosomal RNA", at positions 145 to 575 of the family's 1533-position model. The record is from RNAcentral.
AACAACUGGAAACGGUUGCUAAUACCCCAUAUGCUUUCGAGUGAAAUGGAUUUAUCCGCCUAGAGAGAAGCUUGCGGCUGAUUAGCUUGUUGGUGAGGUAAUGGCUCACCAAGGCGACGAUCAGUAUCUGGUUUGAGAGGACGAUCAGACACACUGGAACUGAGACACGGUCCAGACUCCUACGGGAGGCAGCAGUGGGGAAUUUUCCGCAAUGGGCGAAAGUGACGGAGCAAUCUCGCGUGAGGGAUGACGGCCUAUGGGUUGUAAACCUCUUUUUUCAGGGAGGAAUCAAUGACGUGUACCUGAAGAAUAAGCAUCGGCUAACUCCGUGCCAGCAGCCGCGGUAAGACGGAGGAUGCAAGUGUUAUCCGGAAUCACUGGGCGUAAAGCGUCUGUAGG